AUGAGGAAGCCAUCGGGGCUCGGAGGGGGCCUCGCUGGGUCCGGAGGGUCCCCGCCAGCGUCAGCCCUUCUGUGCGGCCAGAGCGUCUGUCCUGGUUUAUUGAAAGCCAGCGGAAUACUCCAUUUCACCCGCUUCAGUGGGAAACGUUUCGCAGAAAAACACAAGAAGGUCUGGGGCUCAGAUCCUAUGGGCGUGGGCGGCAGCGGGGAGCCCUGGACCCUGGACCCCGCGGGCGGCGGGAGCAGGAUUCCCCGUGUCCCGGCGACUCCCUCUCCUUGCUCCAAACUCCACGCAGGGGUCUUCAUUCCUGGACGCCCCGUGAUGUGUCCCCUCCGGCUCUCCGGAAGCUUCUACAGCCAGGGCUUUGGCGACCUGCCCACGGAGCCCCAGGACCCGAGCCCCGCGGAAUUCUCGGGGGUCCGCGCGGCCGCCGGCGGUCAGCGGCUUUCAACGCUGGGCUCGGGCUCAGGCCUCUCCUUUUCCACGGGGGUUCACCGCAUCGUCUGCCCCGAGUCCCGGGCCGGCUUCCCCGCUGGCCCCGCCUGAGGACGGUCGCCGUGACGCACUGUCUUCACCUGCUGAUUCGUCCCUUCUGGAGGCUCGUGGCCUCCCCCGGCCUGAGGCUGACGUCUGGGCUCAGGACGGUGUCCCACGGCUCCAGAGGGGAUUCCGCGCGUUGACCAACAGUCUGGACAUUCAUACUCACCUGCCCGAGUUUCUGGUGCGUCUGCAGGAAACGAGAGACUCUGUGUCUUUGCCUCGUGAGCUCCGUCUGCAGCCCUGGGGCUCUGAGAACAUGACAGGCGCCCCCGUGAGUCGCCGGCACCCGUGGUCGCUGGGGCCCCGGCCGCUGAGCCGUGGGGAUGCACAUCCACGGAUGGGGAGGGAGGCCCAGGCAGCAGGGAGUGGGCAGGGGGGCGGCGGGUGAGCGCCUGCGUCAGGCCGGUGCAGCCCGGGGAGCGCUGGCCACGGGGACUCAGACGCCCCCUGGCGUGUGCUUCAUGCAGGUUCUGGCUCCGUCUCGUCCCGACUGUGUGGCCCUGGGCAGGUCACUCGACCUGAGCUCUGGGGCACUGCACACGGUCAAGCGAGGCCCCGGGCCCAGGGACGGGAUGGGACGGGGGUGACGGGGACAUCUGCAGGCCCCUCCUCCGGGCAGAAGCUUUUCUGUUUUCCAGUUUCCAACCCAGGGCUGUGGAGCGUGUGCAGGUAAGAGGUGAGGCACCUGCUACGCUUCACCCGCAGGUACCUGGUGAGGUCACUUCUCGCCGACCCUGUGUCCUGGACCCAGUGGGUCACCGGGGGGGGCGGGGGCGCCGGCCCGGAGCCUGCGGUGGGGGAGAGCCGUCUUUCCCGAAGAUUCGGGUGCCAUUCGUAGGGGCUGUUUUACAUCAAUUUAGAUUUUUUUAACGCGGCGUCCCGGUCCGAUGACGGAACUUUUGGUGCCCUGCCAGGGUGUGCUGAGCGCGAUCCCCGGGCGCCCCCAGGCCUCCUGGGUCACGUGCCUUCCACCGAGCUCGGGCUGGGCCGCGGCUGCAGGGGCGCCCUCUGCUCCCCAGGGGUGGGGUCUCCGAGCUGGGCCGCCUGUGAGGUCAUCGUGGGGCGCGGGGGGCCCUUUCUUGCACCUUCUCGCUCAGACUUCUGGGUAAGUUCUGGGGAAGGAGCAGGUUUUCCGGGUGGUGCUUCUUUUUCGGGGUGUGUGGGUGAGGGGAGGCUCGGCCUGCCUGAGGUGACCCUCAGGCCUGUUGUCCGUGAGUCCUGGGGUUGGGGAGGGGACACCUGGGGACAGCUGGGAGCAGGGCGGGAGCACAGGCCCUGGCUUCCGUGCAGGGUGUGUGGCAGGCAGACCCGUGGGUCCUUGUCACGGCCCCGAGGCCCCGAGGUGCACGUGGUGACAGACCGUCCUCACUCGACUGCUCAACUCCCGGGACCUGGCUCCUGGGCUCGGAGCUUCCCUCCAAACCGUCCGGUUUCAGCGAGCGUCCUGCUGGCCCGCGAGGCAGGAGCCCGGGGCCUGGCAGCUGACCGGCCACCCCGAUGCCUCCUGCGGGGAUCCCAGGGGCCCCUGCUCCUGGCUCUUGCUCCCGCCGUGUCUGAGAGCAGCGCAGGGCGGAGGCCGCGGCAGUGCAGGCUCCUCCGUGUCAGGCGGCUGUGGGGCAGGUGUGGGCCCCGCGCUGAGCGCAGCGUGGACGUGGGCGCGGCCCUCGGGGAGGACCUUUCUCCAGCAGUGAGACCCGAGCCAGCCCCUGACUGAACACAGGAGGGAGCCGGGAAGAUGGUGGCAGCGCACCCAGCGCAGGACCUCGCCCAAGACAGGCCCGACCCCUGCAACGAGACCCAGGCCCCAGCAGCGGAGACCCCGGCCGCUGCAGUGGAGACCCCGGCCCCUGCGGAGACCCAGCACAUCUGAGGCCCAGGAGACAGACGGUCUCACGCUUGUCCUGGUUCGCCUCCCACUGGGGACCACUCUGCCCUCGGCCAGCACAUGUGCUCAGGGUGGCCCCGGGCACCUCCCGCCUCCGGCCCACCAUGAGCCUCACCUCGUCCGUCCUUGGUCCCUGGUGCCGAGGAGCAAGGGCAGCCGAGCAGCAGCCGAGCAGGGCCUGGGUGUGCCCCCCCCCCCCCCCGUCUUUCCCUUGUUUCUUGCCCACGGCCUACGGAUGAGUUUCUAGGGUUUACGGAGGGAUGAGGACACACCCUGAGCUGUACUCGCUGGAACCGCGGGGAUCCGCGGGGGGAGCAGCAGGGCAGUGGGCAGGGCCACCCCGUGUGCCCGCGCGGGGGCAGUGAGGACACACCUCAGGGCCCAGCCCUCAGAUGAGGGCUCCCUGGGAAGGAAGGCAGUAAAGGCCGGAGAAGUUGUACUUUGCUGUUUCACGUUGAUCGCGGGCGCAGGUUGCAG
This 2902-nucleotide long non-coding RNA is filed under the name Canis lupus familiaris (dog). RNAcentral describes it as "lncRNA (ENSCAFG00845025002.1)". Lineage: Eukaryota; Metazoa; Chordata; Mammalia; Carnivora; Canidae. The record is from RNAcentral.